This 99-nucleotide microRNA precursor is filed under the name Marmota monax (woodchuck). Lineage: Eukaryota; Metazoa; Chordata; Mammalia; Rodentia; Sciuridae. The record is from RNAcentral.
AGUGAGAUAGCUGGGUCAAAUGGUUGAUUCCCAAUUUUCUGAGGAAUCUCCAUACUGCUUUCCAUAGUGGUUACACCAAUUUUCAGCUCCACCUGCAAU